This 459-nucleotide long non-coding RNA is filed under the name Astyanax mexicanus (Mexican tetra). RNAcentral's name for it is "lncRNA (ENSAMXG00005015598.1)". The record is from RNAcentral. Lineage: Eukaryota; Metazoa; Chordata; Actinopteri; Characiformes; Acestrorhamphidae.
AGGAAAAGAAGGAAGAGAAAGAAAGAAGAGGAGGAAAGUGCUGCAGGACGGAGUUUGUACCUUACCCAUUUACGUUAUUUGCACGGGAACCAGGCACUGAAGCCAGACAUUGAAGACUACUUACCUCAAGUGUACAGCGGUCACGGCUCUCAGUCGACACGGUUCUAAGCCUUUCUUACUGGUUAAUCGUCGCUAGAUGGUUGUGCUAUUGUCUUGCAGCUGCUGAAGAGGGAUGUUUAGCAAGUUUUUGAACGGUCUCGGAGGCAACCUCUAACAAUGGGAUUUCAGAAGUACUGAAGAGUCUGCGACAAAAGACGAGGGAAGAGAGCAAGUCAGGAGAACAAAAGGAAAGGGUUGCAGGGAAGCUGGAGGCACUUUUCAAAAGGGGAUCAGUCCUUUCGGGCCCGGCAGGGGGUGUGCAUGCUGCCCCCUCAACUGGACAUCCUCUUUUGUGCCAGC